GGGAGGCUCAUUGCUGCGAUGGAUGUGGGGACAAGCUGUGUUCUUCACCCCUGACCUCCCACUGGCGCCCACUCAGCAGCAGAGUGACAGCAGCGGUCAGGAAGAUCUCCAGGGCUUUGGCACAGCAGCCCAGUUUGCUGAAAAUCCGUUGUUAUCCCAACUGCAUUGUGGCAGGAUUCCCUCUGCUGCCAGCUGAAGAAUCUCCCGAUAAAUAUGAAGAAAUGUUUACUGCAAAUGCUUCAACUUGCUUCAAAAUGCAGCUUAAAAUACAGACUUCUUUCUGCUUACCCCUUCUGUAUCCAUUAGGCACCAUUCUUUGACAGUGAUGAAUUGGAUGAGAAAUAAUACAGGCUUGGUCUUCACUGGCAUUUUCAUUAAAAUAUUUUGCCUUUGAAAGUGUG
Molecule: long non-coding RNA, 401 nt
Organism: Lonchura striata (white-rumped munia)
Lineage: Eukaryota; Metazoa; Chordata; Aves; Passeriformes; Estrildidae
Source: RefSeq, a predicted model, not a curated record